GCUCAAGAACUACAAGGAAUUGACGGGGCCGCACAAGCGGUGGAGUAUGUGGUUUAAUUCGAUGCAACGCGAAGAACUUACCUGGUCUUGACAUCCCGGAGACCCUUAGGAAACUAGGGGUGCUUCCAUCUGGAAGAAUCUGGAGACAGGUGCUGCAUGGCUGUCGUCAGCUCGUGUCGUGAGAUGUUGGGUUAAGUCCCGCAACGAGCGCAACCCUUGCCUUUAGUUGCCAGCAGUUCGGCUGGGCACUCUAAAGGGACUGCCGGUGUUAAACCGGAGGAAGGUGGGGAUGACGUCAAGUCCUCAUGGCCUUUAUGACCAGGGCUACACACGUACUACAAUGGCCGAUACAAAGGGCAGCGACACUGCGAGGUGAAGCCAAUCCCGUAAAAUCGGUCUCAGUCCGGAUUGGAGUCUGCAACUCGACUCCAUGAAGUUGGAAUCGCUAGUAAUCGUGGAUCAGCAUGCCACGGUGAAUACGUUCCCGGGCCUU
Molecule: ribosomal RNA, 493 nt
Filed under: uncultured Desulfobulbus sp.
Lineage: Bacteria; Pseudomonadati; Thermodesulfobacteriota; Desulfobulbia; Desulfobulbales; Desulfobulbaceae
Description: bacterial SSU rRNA
Rfam family: Bacterial small subunit ribosomal RNA
Source: RNAcentral